GUGGGGAAUAUUGCACAAUGGGCGAAAGCCUGAUGCAGCAACGCCGCGUGAGUGAUGAAGGUCUUCGGAUUGUAAAGCUCUGUCUUUUGGGACGAUAAUGACGGUACCAAAGGAGGAAGCCACGGCUAACUACGUGCCAGCAGCCGCGGUAAUACGUAGGUGGCGAGCGUUGUCCGGAUUUACUGGGCGUAAAGGGUGCGUAGGCGGAUGUUUAAGUGAGAUGUGAAAUACCCGGGCUUAACUUGGGUGCUGCAUUUCAAACUGGAUAUCUAGAGUGCAGGAGAGGAGAAUGGAAUUCCUAGUGUAGCGGUGAAAUGCGUAGAGAUUAGGAAGAACACCAGUGGCGAAGGCGA
RNAcentral lists this ribosomal RNA (353 nucleotides) under uncultured bacterium. RNAcentral's name for it is "partial 16S ribosomal RNA". It matches the Rfam family "Bacterial small subunit ribosomal RNA", at positions 354 to 724 of the family's 1533-position model. The record is from RNAcentral.